CAUAGGUUAAUGAGGCGAACCGGGGGAACUGAAACAUCUAAGUACCCCGAGGAAAAGAAAUCAACCGAGAUUCCCCCAGUAGCGGCGAGCGAACGGGGAGCAGCCCAGAGCCUGAAUCAGUGUGUGUGUUAGUGGAAGCGUCUGGAAAGGCGCGCGAUACAGGGUGACAGCCCCGUACACAAAAAUGCACAUGCUGUGAGCUCGAUGAGUAGGGCGGGACACGUGGUAUCCUGUCUGAAUAUGGGGGGACCAUCCUCCAAGGCUAAAUACUCCUGACUGACCGAUAGUGAACCAGUACCGUGAGGGAAAGGCGAAAAGAACCCCGGCGAGGGGAGUGAAAAAGAACCUGAAACCGUGUACGUACAAGCAGUGGGAGCACAGAGCAAUCUGUGUGACUGCGUACCUUUUGUAUAAUGGGUCAGCGACUUAUAUUCUGUAGCAAGGUUAACCGAAUAGGGGAGCCGAAGGGAAACCGAGUCUUAACUGGGCGUUAAGUUGCAGGGUAUAGACCCGAAACCCGGUGAUCUAGCCAUGGGCAGGUUGAAGGUUGGGUAACACUAACUGGAGGACCGAACCGACUAAUGUUGAAAAAUUAGCGGAUGACUUGUGGCUGGGGGUGAAAGGCCAAUCAAACCGGGAGAUAGCUGGUUCUCCCCGAAAGCUAUUUAGGUAGCGCCUCGUGAAUUCAUCUCCGGGGGUAGAGCACUGUUUCGGCAAGGGGGUCAUCCCGACUUACCAACCCGAUGCAAACUACGAAUACCGGAGAAUGUUAUCACGGGAGACACACGGCGGGUGCUAACGUCCGUCGUGAAGAGGGAAACAACCCAGACCGCCAGCUAAGGUCCCAAAGUCAUGGUUAAGUGGGAAACGAUGUGGGAAGGCCCAGACAGCCAGGAUGUUGGCUUAGAAGCAGCCAUCAUUUAAAGAAAGCGUAAUAGCUCACUGGUCGAGUCGGCCUGCGCGGAAGAUGUAACGGGGCUAAACCAUGCACCGAAGCUGCGGCAGCGACGCUUAUGCGUUGUUGGGUAGGGGAGCGUUCUGUAAGCCUGCGAAGGUGUGCUGUGAGG
This 1067-nucleotide ribosomal RNA is filed under the name Escherichia coli. Its description in RNAcentral is "partial 23S ribosomal RNA". It matches the Rfam family "Bacterial large subunit ribosomal RNA", at positions 165 to 1268 of the family's 2925-position model. Lineage: Bacteria; Pseudomonadati; Pseudomonadota; Gammaproteobacteria; Enterobacterales; Enterobacteriaceae. The record is from RNAcentral.